GAGACCCGCAUCGCCCUGUUGCUACCAGCCUUGAGCUGGGCACACGGCGGAGACUGCCGCCGAUAAGGCGGAGGAAGGAGCGGGCCACGGCAGGUCAGUAUGCCCCGAAUCUCCCGGGCCACACGCGAGCUGCAAUGGCAGGUACAAUGGGUUCCGACCUCGAAAGGGGAAGGCAAUCCCGAAAGCCUGCCGUAGUUGGGAUCGAGGGUUGGAACUCACCCUCGUGAACAUGGAAUCCCUAGUAAUCGCGCGUCAUCAUCGCGCGGUGAAUAC
This 273-nucleotide ribosomal RNA is filed under the name uncultured archaeon. RNAcentral's name for it is "partial 16S rRNA". It matches the Rfam family "Archaeal small subunit ribosomal RNA", at positions 1047 to 1325 of the family's 1478-position model. The record is from RNAcentral.